Non-coding RNA from Camellia sinensis, 653 nucleotides. NCBI's taxonomy places the organism in Eukaryota, Viridiplantae, Streptophyta, Magnoliopsida, Ericales, Theaceae. The record is from RefSeq and is a predicted model, not a curated record.
GAGUGGACCUAUCCCUCCUAUUCUAGGAAAUUUGACCUACACGGAGAAAUUGUGCUAUUGUGACCUCGUUUCUUGCUCAAAAUUUAAGACCAUUUGACCAUCCCUUUUGGAUGAUGCAGUUUUAGAGAGGAUCUUUUGAUCAUGCAGAAAAUUUUGUCGAACGAGUCCCUUUCUUUUAAUAGGACUGAUUGCUUCUUUCAGAAUGGCUUAUUCCGUUUGUUGCUCUUGAUGUGAGAAGUCAAGACAAGCAACUAUCAGUGUAGAUGCAAUGCUGGAGAUCUUGCAGCACUCAGUUGAGGAAAAGGUAAGGUCAUUUAUGCUAGUUCAUUAUUUCAACCUUUUGGGUGUAAAUGCAUUUUGUGUAGGCGUUGAACAAUGAAGCCGAAUUGCCAUUUUGGUCACUUUUGUGAUGUACUAGAUUUAUGUGAAUGGCAGUAGCAGUAUCUAUUGUGGGAUUGAAUUUAUGUUUAGCUGGCAAUACUAUUUUAUACCUGCAGAACUGCCUGAAGUAAGCAUGUAGUUUGACCUUUUUUUUGGAUGGGCUGCAUUCAUGUAAUCUUCUACUCACUUUUGAACAUAAUAGGUUUUGAUUCAGGUUGCCUCCUUAACUCAUUGAACUGAAAAUUAACACAAGUAAUAAGUUCUAGAUAUAU